Molecule: ribosomal RNA, 163 nt
Filed under: Satanoperca pappaterra (pantanal eartheater)
Lineage: Eukaryota; Metazoa; Chordata; Actinopteri; Cichliformes; Cichlidae
Description: partial small subunit ribosomal RNA
Source: RNAcentral
UGUCGGUAAAACUCGUGCCAGCCACCGCGGUUAUACGAGAGGCCCAAGUUGACAGACAUCGGCGUAAAGAGUGGUUAAGGAAUUCUUGAAACUAAAGCCGAACGCCUUCAAGACUGUUAUACGUUUGCCGAAGGUAAGAAGCCCCACUACGAAAGUGGCUUUA